Molecule: transfer RNA, 69 nt
Filed under: Urocitellus parryii (Arctic ground squirrel)
Lineage: Eukaryota; Metazoa; Chordata; Mammalia; Rodentia; Sciuridae
Also listed under: 2 other names
Description: Spermophilus parryii (Arctic ground squirrel) tRNA
Rfam family: tRNA
About the family: Transfer RNA (tRNA) molecules are approximately 80 nucleotides in length. Their secondary structure includes four short double-helical elements and three loops (D, anti-codon, and T loops). Further hydrogen bonds mediate the characteristic L-shaped molecular structure. tRNAs have two regions of fundamental functional importance: the anti-codon, which is responsible for specific mRNA codon recognition, and the 3' end, to which the tRNAs corresponding amino acid is attached (by aminoacyl-tRNA synthetases). tRNAs cope with the degeneracy of the genetic code in two manners: having more than one tRNA (with a specific anti-codon) for a particular amino acid; and 'wobble' base-pairing, i.e. permitting non-standard base-pairing at the 3rd anti-codon position.
Source: Rfam by way of RNAcentral
GGGGUUGUGGCUCAGUGGUAGAGUGCUUGCCUUGCAUGCCUGGGGCACUGGGUUCAAUUCUCAGCACCA